AUGGCCUCCUCCGUGUUAAAUCCACUGCUGAGGCAGCUUCCUGUCUUUUCGACCUUCCGAAGUGCCUACGGAGUUCAGGUUCCCAUUCAGAGUCUUUGCACCAAAAAUCUCCCCGAGAAAGAUUCUUCACCCCCAGUUCCUACUUCCCCUUAUAAAGAUGAACCCUGGAAAUACCUGGAAUCAGAAGAAUACCAGAACCGCUAUGGUUCUCGCCCUGUCUGGGCUGACAACCGCCACAACCACAAAGGUGGUAUACCCCCACAGAGGACUCGAAAGACAUGUAUUCGUAGGAAUAAAGUUGCUGAGAAUCCUUGCCCCAUCUUCCGGGAUCACAAGUUGCAUGUUGACGUUAGGAACGUGAAGCCGUUGGAACAGUUUGUCUGUACCCACACAGGUAUCAUCUUCCACGCUCCAUACACAGGUGUCUGUAUGAAGCAGCACAAGAAGUUGACCCAGGCUAUCCAGAAAGCCAACGAUCAUGAUCUCCUUAGUUACCAUAUUCCAAGGUUGCACCCCCGGGACCUUGACUUCAAUACCUCUCAUGGAGCUAUGAGUGCUACUCCGCCAGCCCCCAACCUGGUUUCGGGGGACCCUUGGUACCCCAUGGUACAGCUGGGAACAGCCAUCAGAGAGAGAAUUGUCCUGCAUUUGCCGCCGUUAUCUGGGUCAUCUCCAAGAAGAGAGUGGCCCUCCACUCUAGUCAAUGCCUGAGGUGCCCCCACAACACCAGUUGAAGCUUCCUUUACUGAGCAGACCAGUCCCCAGAGUGCUUCAUAG
RNA transcript from Nycticebus coucang (slow loris), 777 nucleotides. It is a transcript of the gene named 28S ribosomal protein S18b, mitochondrial-like, with no coding region annotated. The transcript has a single exon. Lineage: Eukaryota; Metazoa; Chordata; Mammalia; Primates; Lorisidae. The record is from RefSeq and is a predicted model, not a curated record.